RNAcentral lists this ribosomal RNA (225 nucleotides) under uncultured bacterium. RNAcentral's name for it is "partial 16S ribosomal RNA". It matches the Rfam family "Bacterial small subunit ribosomal RNA", at positions 124 to 334 of the family's 1533-position model. The record is from RNAcentral.
ACCUACCUUAUAGAAGGGGAUAACAGGGAGAAGUUCCUGCUAAUACCGUAUAAGCUGAGCAAUUUUGGAAGUAGCUCAGGAAAGAUGGCCGCUGCUUGCAUGCUAUCACUAUAAGAAGGGCCUGCGGGUCAUUAGCUUGUUGGUGGGGUAAAGGCUUACCAAGGCGAUGAUGACUAACCGGUCUGAGAGGACGAUCGGCCACACUGGGACUGAGACACGGCCCAG